AACGAACGCUGGCGGCAUGCCUAACACAUGCAAGUCGAACGAGACCUUCGGGUCUAGUGGCGCACGGGUGCGUAACGCGUGGGAACCUGCCCUUAGGUUCGGAGUAACUCCCCGAAAGGGGCGCUAAUACCGGAUAAUGUCUUCGGACCAAAGAUUUAUCGCCUUUGGAUGGGCCCGCGUUGGAUUAGCUAGUUGGUAGGGUAAAAGCCUACCAAGGCGACGAUCCAUAGCUGGUCUGAGAGGAUGAUCAGCCACACUGGGACUGAGACACGGCCCAGACUCCUACGGGAGGCAGCAGUGGGGAAUAUUGGACAAUGGGCGAAAGCCUGAUCCAGCAAUGCCGCGUGAGUGAUGAAGGCCUUAGGGUUGUAAAGCUCUUUUACCCGGGAUGAUAAUGACAGUACCGGGAGAAUAAGCUCCGGCUAACUCCGUG
This 433-nucleotide ribosomal RNA is filed under the name uncultured bacterium. RNAcentral describes it as "partial 16S ribosomal RNA". It matches the Rfam family "Bacterial small subunit ribosomal RNA", at positions 29 to 507 of the family's 1533-position model. The record is from RNAcentral.